UUUCAAAUUGGUUGAGUUUUUGGAUAUAUUAAAACUCUUGUAUAUUAUCACGAGGGAAAUCAAAUCUCCAAGAUAACAGGGAAGUUUAAAUUUGAGUCCAACAGAAACAGUAGGGAUAGGAUAAUUAUCACGAGAUAAUUAUUUGCAACCAAUUCUAUCUUUUGUGAUUUCAUUUAUCUCCAUAGUCGGGUAUUGAGCAUCUAGCCCAAUGGGCUGAUUUCCUCCAAAUACCCAACACAAUUGGG
RNAcentral lists this long non-coding RNA (245 nucleotides) under Olea europaea (common olive). RNAcentral's name for it is "long non-coding RNA (OEUR_LNC005298)". Lineage: Eukaryota; Viridiplantae; Streptophyta; Magnoliopsida; Lamiales; Oleaceae. The record is from RNAcentral.